This 301-nucleotide ribosomal RNA is filed under the name uncultured bacterium. RNAcentral's name for it is "partial 16S ribosomal RNA". It matches the Rfam family "Bacterial small subunit ribosomal RNA", at positions 509 to 808 of the family's 1533-position model. The record is from RNAcentral.
CAGCGCCGCGGUAAUACGUAGGUGGCAAGCGUUGUCCGGAAUUAUUGGGCGUAAAGGGCUCGCAGGCGGUUUCUUAAGUCUGAUGUGAAAGCCCCCGGCUCAACCGGGGAGGGUCAUUGGAAACUGGGAAACUUGAGUGCAGAAGAGGAGAGUGGAAUUCCACGUGUAGCGGUGAAAUGCGUAGAGAUGUGGAGGAACACCAGUGGCGAAGGCGACUCUCUGGUCUGUAACUGACGCUGAGGAGCGAAAGCGUGGGGAGCGAACAGGAUUAGAUACCCCGGUAGUCCCUGUCUCUUAUACA